CACAUGCAAGUCGAGCGGAUGAAGGGAGCUUGCUCCUGGAUUCAGCGGCGGACGGGUGAGUAAUGCCUAGGAAUCUGCCUGGUAGUGGGGGAUAACGUCCGGAAACGGGCGCUAAUACCGCAUACGUCCUGAGGGAGAAAGUGGGGGAUCUUCGGACCUCACGCUAUCAGAUGAGCCUAGGUCGGAUUAGCUAGUUGGUGGGGUAAAGGCCUACCAAGGCGACGAUCCGUAACUGGUCUGAGAGGAUGAUCAGUCACACU
Molecule: ribosomal RNA, 260 nt
Filed under: Pseudomonas aeruginosa
Lineage: Bacteria; Pseudomonadati; Pseudomonadota; Gammaproteobacteria; Pseudomonadales; Pseudomonadaceae
Description: partial 16S ribosomal RNA
Rfam family: Bacterial small subunit ribosomal RNA
Source: RNAcentral